GAUGAACGCUGGCGGCGUGCCUAAUACAUGCAAGUCGAGCGAACAGACGAGGAGCUUGCUCCUCUGACGUUAGCGGCGGACGGGUGAGUAACACUUGGAUAACCUACCUAUAAGACUGGGAUAACUUCGGGAAACCGGAGCUAAUACCGGAUAAUAUAUUGAACCGCAUGGUUCAAUAGUGAAAGACGGUUUUGCUGUCACUUAUAGAUGGAUCCGCGCCGCAUUAGCUAGUUGGUAAGGUAACGGCUUACCAAGGCAACGAUGCGUAGCCGACCUGAGAGGGUGAUCGGCCACACUGGAACUGAGACACGGUCCAGACUCCUACGGGAGGCAGCAGUAGGGAAUCUUCCGCAAUGGGCGAAAGCCUGACGGAGCAACGCCGCGUGAGUGAUGAAGGUCUUCGGAUCGUAAAACUCUGUUAUUAGGGAAGAACAAAUGUGUAAGUAACUAUGCACGUCUUGACGGUACCUAAUCAGAAAGCCACGGCUAACUACGU
RNAcentral lists this ribosomal RNA (496 nucleotides) under uncultured bacterium. RNAcentral's name for it is "partial 16S ribosomal RNA". It matches the Rfam family "Bacterial small subunit ribosomal RNA", at positions 28 to 506 of the family's 1533-position model. The record is from RNAcentral.